Molecule: transfer RNA, 106 nt
Organism: Daedalea quercina L-15889
Lineage: Eukaryota; Fungi; Basidiomycota; Agaricomycetes; Polyporales; Fomitopsidaceae
Rfam family: tRNA
About the family: Transfer RNA (tRNA) molecules are approximately 80 nucleotides in length. Their secondary structure includes four short double-helical elements and three loops (D, anti-codon, and T loops). Further hydrogen bonds mediate the characteristic L-shaped molecular structure. tRNAs have two regions of fundamental functional importance: the anti-codon, which is responsible for specific mRNA codon recognition, and the 3' end, to which the tRNAs corresponding amino acid is attached (by aminoacyl-tRNA synthetases). tRNAs cope with the degeneracy of the genetic code in two manners: having more than one tRNA (with a specific anti-codon) for a particular amino acid; and 'wobble' base-pairing, i.e. permitting non-standard base-pairing at the 3rd anti-codon position.
Source: Rfam
GCCUGUUUAGCUCAGUGGUAGAGCGCGCCACUCGUACCACUUGUUAGUUCGAACAAGCUCGGCUUACGUAAUGGUGAGGUCGCUUGUUCGAUCCAGGCAAUAGGCA